AAAAAAAAAAUCUACAUUUUCGAUUAGAAUUGUCGGUGCUACAAUGCUCCCAUUUGUGAUGAUGCAGAUCCAUAAAGUGAUUUAAGCUUGAGAAACUGCAUCCACAAUAUUGAUAAGGAAACAAAUGGAAAUCUCUAAAAACAGUGAAAUUUCAGUGACAACAAAACAUGACUAUGAUAGAGUAAGUGAGGUCAAAGCAUUUGAUGAAACAAAAGAUGGUGUUAAAGGACUUGUUGAUGCUUCUGUCACAAAAAUUCCUCGCAUGUUCCAUCAUAAAUUCGACAAGGAUUUAUCUUCAACUUCAAGCAACAUCACCAAACUUGAUGUUCCUACUAUUGACCUUGUUGAUAUUCAUCAAGAUCCAACAAGAAGGAAAAUAGUUGUUGAGCAAAUUAGAGAGGCAUCUGAGAAAUGGGGCUUCUUUCAAAUUGUUAAUCAUGGAAUUGAAGUGAGUGUUUUGGAUGAGAUGAAGAAUGGAGUGAUUAGAUUCUACGAGCAAGAUUCUGAAGUGAAAAGAGAACUAUACUCACGUGAACCUUUGAGGCCUUUGGUUUAUAAUAGCAACUUUGAUCUUUAUACUUCGGCAGCUGCUUGUUGGAGGGAUACCUUUUCUUGUCUUAUGGCUCCAAAAUCUCCUAAACCAGAAGAUUUGCCAUCAGUAUGCAGGUAUAUUAUAGAUAUAAUCUUUAAUUUCACCACCAGUAUCCUGCCCACUGGACCACCUAAUUUGGUUCGGGAGUCAGUUCUGGCAUCAAGUGAUUUCAGUCCCCUUUCGAUCGUAGUUGCGGGGGGAUCAAACUCUUUAACUCAAUCUACUACUAUACAGUUCUCACUCAUGGACAUAAGUAAAAGCUACCAGUUCCUUACUCAAAGAACUCGUAACGGUACUUGGAUUGGAGUAGAAACUUGAUCCUACUAAUUACGUAGAACCAUGAACCAUCAAGUGAGUUCGAGGUGGUUCAUGCUUUUUAUAUUAGUCAUUAUAUGCUAAGGCAAAGGUUGUAACCAUGGUCAUGCGUGCCGUAAGCGGGCUCUGGUGGGGGAACCCGUAGGAAGGGGGACAACCCCGAGCUUAAUUACGACACCAGCCUACCGAUCCUACGUAGGAUCUCUAACCUGACUUACGUUGCUAACAAUAGCCUAGGAUCAGGAUGAUGUAAAAUCAAGGAAUAGUAAAAACACACCGACUUUUAAUAAAAGAUAUAUUAAAUCUAAGUCUUGUCACGUUCCUUAAUAUUGCCGUGAAGUAUGGUUAAAUGUGACUGAUAUAUUCUCUCUAUUGCAGCCGCAGAGACAUUAAAAACAUUGGUGUUGCGGUAAAGGUUGCAGUCACAGGGUUUAUUUUUCAUAAAAAAUGAUUUGAAUUUAUUUGGUUAUGUCUAUUAGGAAUUUUGUAUAUGCAAGAGUUAUAUAUUUUGGCCUUACAUCUCUGACCAAUUGUACUUACAUCUCUGACUACAGAGCGGGGCUGCGGUACCUUUCUAUUAAUCAAACUUAGAGUUUACAGAGUAAAACUUGUGUUUAAAUAUUACGGUCUUGUUUACAAAAUUACCCCUGAACUAUGAGCCUUGCUCGAGCAACUUGCCAAUUUAUCAAUAAACCUCGAGUCAUAUCUAACAAUAUCAUAUCUUUGUAACAGAUUUUGAUAAUAGCUGAGAUUAAACACUAAGAUAUUAUGUGCAUAUGGUUGCAGAGAUAUACUGCUGGAAUACACAAAACAAGUUAUGAAACUGGGAAAUGUAUUGUUUGAGUUAUUAUCAGAAGCACUUGGAUUGAAUCCAAACUACUUAAAUGACAUGAUGAGAUGCGAUGAUGGACUUGCAAUUGCUUGCCAUUACUAUCCUUCUUGUCCUGAACCAGAAUUGACUUUAGGAGCAGCCAGACAUAGCGAUAUUGACUUUAUCACUGUGCUUCUGCAAGAUCAUAUUGGUGGCCUCCAAGUUCUUCAUGAAAAUAAUUGGGUUGAUGUAUCACCUCUUCCUGGUGCUCUUGUAAUCAACAUUGGCGAUCUUCUACAGGUAAUUUUUAUUGAGAUUUUUUUACACCGUCAGUUAAUCACAAUUCUAUCAUUUUUAUGACUUUUAAGAUUAAUAUGAUCAAAAUCAAAUGUUUGUAGUAAUCCAACAGUUAUGAUCAAUUGACAAUAUAAAAUUGUUAAUGCAUAUGAACUAAGCUCAUUUUCAUCUUUUGCUUGUUUUUUGUUUGGAUAAUUUCUUGUGAUUGUAUAGCUUUUAAGAGAGUGAAAGAUGCAAUUUUUCUUUAUUCAUAUUUCUCAGUCUUGUUGCAUCAUGAUUCAUAAUAUUACUUUUUAAAACAUGAGUUCUUGGGAUGAACAAUUAUUAUCGAGACUUUAUUUACCUCACCGCUGAACUCAAGAUUAUCAGAUUCAUUCCCUUAUGAACCGGAAGGUUAACACCAGUUGUGAAUAGAAUUAAAAAUUCACACCAAUAGUACUUUGAUGUGUACGUGCAGCAACCGAUAACCAAGUAAUGCAAUAAUGAUCACGAACAAAAAUGAGAAACACAAUCAAAGAGAAGAAAAACACACAAUAUUGUUUACCCAUUUCAGUCCAACAAAGGCCUACACAUGGGGGAAAGAGCAGUCUUCCGUUCUACUAAUCAAUUGAGUUUUGUUACACAAAGAUUCACAAAGGAGUUACAAGAAUUAACCUUCAAUCCUAGUUCUACCAUUUUCUCGAAUCUCCCAAAAGCAUUCAACUUUUAACCCUAAAGGUUUCCUCUUUCGAUCUAUCUAAGAUUGCUUUCUUUGUUUUUCACUCACUCAAACAUUAUGUUGUUUAUAUAUCGGCAUCAAUCUACUUAUAAUAUUGCAGUGCAAGACAUAACUUUAUGGACUACAACUUGCCAAACAAGAUUGUUAGUCUUGCGCAUUAAGAAAUAUUCUUGUGGCCCAUAUAUCUUGCCAACCAAUAUUGUUAAUCUUACACUUCAAGAGAUAUCCUUAUGGUCCACAUGUCUUGCCAACCGAGAUUACUAGUCUUGCACUUCAAGAAAUAUCCUUGUAACACACAUAUUUUGCUAACAAGUAGCUUAAUAAUUUUGAGUCAUACACAACAACACCGAUAAAAAAAAAGGCAUGAAUAUUUACUUUUUUUUGUUGAUUAACUAAAUUAACAAAUUUGUUGAAAACAGCUUAUAACAAAUGACAAAUUCAAGAGUGUUGAGCACAGAGUGGUGGCAAACCAUGUAGGUCCAAGAGUAUCAGUUGCAAGCUUUUUUAGAAGUUUUCAGCCAUCAACAAGGCUUUAUGGUCCUAUAAAGGAAUUAGUAUCAGAAGAUAAUCCUCCAAUGUACAAGGAAACUACAGUUCAGGAUUAUGUUGAAUUCUCCAUGGCAAGAGGCUUUGAUGGAAUAACUUCUUCUUUGCCAUAUUUCAAGAUUGGAAAUUUCUGAUGCACACACAACAAAUAUGGUUUAACAUGUUUUACAUUAUAAUUAAAAGAACUUUGUAAAAUUUACUUUGCUAUAUUUGGUACAUGCACAUGCGGCAUCUUUUUUUUAUUGUCCAAACUUGGCAUACAUUUAGAUUCUAUAUUUGUGUGGAUGUGUUAGAGUCGGGAUCCGUUGACACCAGGUGUCAAANNNNNNNNNNNNNNNNNNNNNNNNNNNNNNNNNNNNNNNNNNNNNNNNNNNNNNNNNNNNNNNNNNNNNNNNNNNNNNNNNNNNNNNNNNNNNNNNNNNNNNNNNNNNNNUAAGUUUGUUAAAUAUUGUUUUUAGUCUUUUUUUUUUUUUUUGAAGAAGCUAAAUUAGCCACCCAAAUUAAAUUUUUAGCCAUAUUGAAUUUUCUCCCAAAUUUUUUGCCCUAAAAAGUUCUAUUACUUUAUGGUAGGCACACUGAUAAAUCAAAGAUUGCAAAAAUAUGAUAAUACGAAACACAAAAAACCAUAUUUCAUAUUAUUAAUUCACAAAGAAUUAAUUAUAUUGGAGGGAAAAAAAAGCUUUUUUUUCCACAAACUCCAUGAAGAACAUGUUUUCUUCUUUUUCUUUUUUUUUUGAAAACCCAUGAACAACAUGUUGAUAGACCCACGCCAUUAAAAUAAGUUAAGGACAAAUUUUCAAAGGAAAAUAAAUUAAGAGGCAAGAGGUCGAAACAAGAGCACCAAACAUUGUUCUCAUCUGGGAGUAAAAACGAGGAGUAAUUUGGUGAGUAAUGAUCAAGUGGGCAUAAUUGAAGAAUAAACAUGGACCAUUAGAUCAAUUAAAAUCGAUGGAUAAGAUUUGGUGUCAAAAUUAACUUUGACACAUGGUGUCAAUGGAUCUGACACGAUGUAUUAUUCGUCUCAAAAGGAACAUUCAUUAUUAUUAUUAUUAUUAUUAUUAUUAUUAUUAUUAUUAUUAUUAUUAUGUCAAAAAAAAUUAAUUAUUACUUAUGUGAAAUGGUUAAAUGAAUUACUUCAUGUAUUACAAAAGGGAAAAAAUAUUGUUUAAUCUUAUCUUUUCCUUAUCCAUAUGGAAGUCCCAAUUUUAUUUUAUUUUUGAGAGGUGGAGGAAGUCCCAGUUUUUCAAUGGAUUGUCCCAAUCAUGAAAUUAUCUCUUUGACUAAUCAAUUAAACUUUUGUCAUUUGGAAGAAUUGUUCUAGCUUAAAAUUGAGAAGAAUGCAUCCAUUUAAUUUAAGGGUCUAAUGGGGUCGGUUAAUUUUCUCAAUACACAAAUUGACAAAUUUGUUAUCCACUAUGUACCACCUAUUAUGGUGGUUCUUUUUUUUUGGUUUUCACACUGGUUUCUAGGGAUGGGGCGCCAGUAGUCCAGAUUUCGGAGUCAAUUCUGACAUUAAGUGGUUCCGGUCCCUUACCAAAUGCUCAAUUAUGGUGGUCCAUUUUAGCCACUACUCAAUUAUUGUGAUUUUUUUCUGCGAAAUUAUUAGACACGACACUAAAGACGAUAUUGACAUGUUAACAUUAAUAUUUACACUGUCACAUCUUCGGUCAGAAGUAUCAGUGCUACAUAGUUUGAAUCCUCCCACUUGAUGGAUGCAGGUCUAUAAAGAGAUUUAAACUUGAAAAACUGUAUCCACAACAGGGAUAAGGAAAAAAAUGGAAAUCUCUAAAACCAAUGAAAUUUCAGUGACAACAAAACAUGACUAUGAUAGAAUAAGUGAGCUCAAAGCAUUUGAUGACACAAAAGAUGGUGUUAAAGGACUUGUUGAUGCUUCUGUCACAAAAAUCCCUCGCAUGUUCUAUCAUGAAUUCAACAAGGAUUCAUCUUCAACUUCAAGCAACAUCACCAAACUUGAUGUUCCUACUAUUGAUCUUGUUGAUAUUCAUCAAGAUCCAACCACACGGAAAAUAGUUGUCGAGAAAAUUAGAGAAGCAUCUGAAAAAUGGGGUUUCUUUCAAAUUGUUAAUCAUGGAAUUGAAGUGAGUGUUUUGGAUGAGAUGAAGAAUGGAGUGAUUAGAUUCUUUGAGCAAGAUUCUGAAGUGAAACGAGAACUAUAUUCGCGUGAACCUUCGAGGCCUUUCAUUUAUACUAGCAACUUUGAUCUUUAUAAUUCACCAGCUGCAAAUUGGAGGGAUACCUUUUAUUGUAUUAUGGCUCCAAAAUCUCCUAAACCAGAAGAUUUGCCAUCAGUGUGCAGGUAUAUAUUACAACUUGUGUUUAAAUACAACGGUCUAAUUUACAAAAUUACCCUUGAACUAUGAGCCUUGCUUAACGACUUGUCAAUUUUUCACUAAACCUAGGGUCAUACUUAACAAUAUCAUAUCUUUGUAACAGAUUUUGAUAAUAACUUAGAUUAAACACCAAGUUUAGGGCCAAACCAAUUGCAAACAUGAAAUUUUAAGGCCAAACCACGUUUGACUUUUGCAAACGCGCGUUUGAAGCGUUCUAAAACCUAACGAGUACUAAGAUAUUAUGCCCAUAUGAUUGCAGAGAUAUAAUACUGGAAUACACAAAACAAGUUAUGAAACUGGGAAAUGUGCUGUUUGAGUUAUUAUCAGAAGCACUUGGACUGAAUCCAAACUAUUUAAAUGAAAUGAGAUGCAAUGAGGGACAUGCAAUUGUUUGCAAUUACUAUCCUUCUUGUCCUGAACCAGAACUGACUUUGGGAUUAACCAAACAUACUGAUGAUGACUUUAUCACUAUGCUUCUACAAGAUCAUAUUGGUGGCCUCCAAGUUCUUCAUGAAAAUAGUUGGGUUGAUGUAUCACCUGUUCCUGGUGCUCUAGUCAUCAACAUUGGUGAUCUUCUACAGGUGAUUUUUAUCGAGAUUAAUUUUGAUGCAUUAUCGGUAUAAACUUUUUUCUGUUGAUUAACUAAUUAACAAAUUUUCUGUCAAAAAAAGAACUAAUUAACCAAUCUGUUGAAAACAGCUUAUAACAAAUGAUAAAUUCAAGAGUGUUGAGCACAGAGUGGUGGCAAACCAUGUAGGUCCAAGAGUAUCAGUUGCAAACUUUUAUAGCACAAGUUAUCAGCCAUCAACAAGGCUUUAUGGUCCUAUAAAGGAAUUACUAUCAGAAGAUAAUCCUCCAAAAUACAAGGAAACUACAGUUCAGAAUUUUGUUGAAUUCUCCAUGGGAAAAGGCCUUGAUGGAACUUCUGCUUUGCCAUAUUUCAAGAUUGGAAGUUUCUGAUGCACACACAACAACUGUGGUUUAACAUGCUCACAAUAUAAUUAAAAGAACUUUGUAAAAUUUACUUCUUUUGUGUUAACUUCCUUAGCAAGCAAAAGAAGUAAAUGUGUGUAGAGAUAGAGACUAUUACUCCUGUCUUUCCUAUUUGUGAAAAAGUUGUUAAAAAAUACCUAUUUGUGAAAAAGUUGUUAAAAAAAUACUCCCUACUUCAAGUAAUGUAGAUCAGAUUAAUUAAUUAUUCGAUGAAUCUGAAAAGUCUAGUUUUUUGCGUAUAUUUGAAACCAAGGAGAAUAAUGAUCAAUUUUAAUUAAUUUUUAAAGCAAUAUUAAUUGAUUUUUGAAUU
Molecule: long non-coding RNA, 6933 nt
Filed under: Trifolium pratense (red clover)
Lineage: Eukaryota; Viridiplantae; Streptophyta; Magnoliopsida; Fabales; Fabaceae
Description: long non-coding RNA (TPRA_LNC006877)
Source: RNAcentral